CCUACGGGUGGCAGCAGUAGGGAAUGUUGCGCAAUGGGGGAAACCCUGACGCAGCAACGCCGCGUGAUUGAUGAAGUCCUUCGGGGUGUAAAGAUCUGUCAGUGGGGACGAAACCUGACGGUACCCACAGAGGAAGCACCGGCGAACUCCGUGCCAGCAGCCGCGGUAAUACGGGGGGUGCAAGCGUUGUCCGGAAUCAUUGGGCGUAAAGAGUUCGUAGGUGGCACGGUAAGUCUGGUGUUAAAGGCGGAGGCUCAACGUCCGUAGGGCACUGGAUACUGGCGAGCUUGAGUGCGGUAGAGGUAAGGGGAAUUCCUGGUGUAGCGGUGAAAUGCGUAGAUAUCAGGAGGAACAUCGGUGGCGUAGGCGCUUUACUGGGCCGUAAUUGACGCUGAGGAGCGAAAGCCGGGGUAGCAAAUAGGAUUAGAUACCCGUGUAGUC
This 441-nucleotide ribosomal RNA is filed under the name uncultured bacterium. RNAcentral describes it as "partial 16S ribosomal RNA". It matches the Rfam family "Bacterial small subunit ribosomal RNA", at positions 338 to 795 of the family's 1533-position model. The record is from RNAcentral.